GGACUACCAGGGUAUCUAAUCCUGUUUGCUACCCACGCUUUCGUGCCUCAGCGUCAGAAAUGGUCCAGCAUGCUGUCUACACCGCAGGUGUUCCUCCUGAUAUCUACGCAUUUCACCGCUACACCAGGAAUUCCGCAUGCCUCUCCCAUCCUCAAGCCUUCCAGUUUUCGGCGCACCCUCCCAGUUGAGCCGGGAGAUUUCACACCAAACUUAGAAGACCGCCUACGCACUCUUUACGCCCAGUAACUCCGAACAACGCUUGCUGCCUACGUAUUACCGCGGCUGCUGGCAC
Molecule: ribosomal RNA, 292 nt
Filed under: uncultured Acidobacteriota bacterium
Lineage: Bacteria; Pseudomonadati; Acidobacteriota
Description: uncultured Acidobacteria bacterium partial 16S ribosomal RNA
Source: RNAcentral